CAUGGACAGAGUUGGUGUCUUUUUACUUAAUGUUGUAUGUCCCCAAGCAUUUAAUUAAGUGGUAUGCACCCAUUAGGCGCUCAAUACUGUUGAUGGUGGUCAGCAGAGUAAAAUAUUGGGGCUGUACUAAUCCACCGGUUUCCAUUCCUAGCCCAAAUUAUUUUUAAGUUAUCGAGUUUAUGUGAUUGAUUCAUUUCUUAGGAUUGAGUUCAUUCAGUGUGAUGGGUGAAAGCAAAUGCAGUGAAUGACCAAAUUGUUCCCUUCCUUCCACCUACUUGCCAGUUCUUAUUUGAAGCACUCAGAGUUUCCUGCCCAAGAGCCCAGCAGCAAAUAGAAUCAAACAUAUUGCCUGCAGCACCAUGGAAAAGAGACCGGGCCGUGAUGGAGAUCAAAUCUACUCCGUCGGGUAGGAUCCUCAAUAAAUACCACUGAUUGAGUGAUUGCCCAGGUGGACACCGGAAUGAUAUUUCAAUCUGCCAUUUGGUUUAUGACAAGACAGUGCUUGAAAAUUUAUGAAGAAAGGAGGGAGGGGCCGUGGCCGAUCCCAGAACUGCCCGUGGACUGGACAGCCCGGCUCAGCCCAGUCCUGCCCAGAGGAAAGGAAAACAGUCUAACCACGGGAUGCUCUUCCAGCCUCCAUUCCGGGCAGACCUGCAGACCCCGACCAGGGUCCCAGAGGGACCAAAGGGCUGAGGUGGGCACUGGGGAGGAGGGGCAGAUCUGGGUGAAGGGAAACUUUC
Molecule: long non-coding RNA, 740 nt
Filed under: Ornithorhynchus anatinus (platypus)
Lineage: Eukaryota; Metazoa; Chordata; Mammalia; Monotremata; Ornithorhynchidae
Description: lncRNA (ENSOANG00000047825.1)
Source: RNAcentral